GGGUUAAGUCCGUAACGAGCGCAACCCUUGUCCUUAGUUACCAGCACGUUAUGUGGGCACUCUAAGGAGACUGCCGGUGACAACCGGAGGAAGGUGGGGAUGACGUCAAGUCAUCAUGGCCCUUACGGCCUGGGCUACACACGUGCUACAAUGGUCGGUACAAAGGGUUGCCAAGCCGCGAGGUGGAGCUAAUCCCAUAAAACCGAUCGUAGUCCGGAUCGCAGUCUGCAACUCGACUGCGUGAAGUCGGAAUCGCUAGUAAUCGUGAAUCAGAAUGUCACGGUGAAUACGUUCCCGGGCCUU
This 303-nucleotide ribosomal RNA is filed under the name uncultured Pseudomonas sp. Its description in RNAcentral is "bacterial SSU rRNA". It matches the Rfam family "Bacterial small subunit ribosomal RNA", at positions 1077 to 1382 of the family's 1533-position model. Lineage: Bacteria; Pseudomonadati; Pseudomonadota; Gammaproteobacteria; Pseudomonadales; Pseudomonadaceae. The record is from RNAcentral.